Long non-coding RNA from Oncorhynchus keta (chum salmon), 2109 nucleotides. RefSeq lists it as uncharacterized. The record is from RefSeq and is a predicted model, not a curated record. The transcript is spliced from 8 exons. NCBI's taxonomy places the organism in Eukaryota, Metazoa, Chordata, Actinopteri, Salmoniformes, Salmonidae.
AAGUUACCUGAUGUUUAUGCCGAGGUGUGUCUGUGCUGUCAGAUGUAACUGUGGACCCUGGUCAGAUAUAACAGUCGACCCUGGUCAGAUAUAACUGUGGACCCUGGUCAGAUAUAACAGUGGACCCUGGUCAGAUAUAACUGUGGACCCUGGUCAGAUAUAACUGUGAUGGAGGUCAGAUAUAACAGUCGACCCUGGUCAGAUAUAACAGUGGACCCUGGUCAGAUAUAACUGUGAUGGAGGUCAGAUAUAACAGUGAUGGAGGUCAGAUAUAACAGUGAUGGAGGUCAGAUAUAACAGUGAUGGAGGUCAGAUAUAACAGUGAUGGAGGUCAGAUAUAACAGUGAUGGAGGUCAGAUAUAACAGUGAUGGAGGUCAGAUAUAACAGUGAUGGAGGUCAGAUAUAACAGUGAUGGAGGUCAGAUAUAACAGUGGACCCUGGUCAGAUAUACCAGUGGACCCUGGUCAGAUAUAACAGUGAUGGAGGUCAGAUAUAACAGUGAUGGAGGUCAGAUAUAACUGUGAUGGAGGUCAGAUAUAACAGUGAUGGAGGUCAGAUAUAACAGUGAUGGAGGUCAGAUAUAACAGUGAUGGAGGUCAGAUAUAACAGUGAUGGAGGUCAGAUAUAACAGUGAUGGAGGUCAGAUAUAACAGUGAUGGAGGUCAGAUAUACCAGUGGACCCUGGUCAGAUAUAACAGUGAUGGAGGUCAGAUAUAACAGUGAUGGAGGUCAGAUAUAACAGUGAUGGAGGUCAGAUAUAACCGUGAUGGAGGUCAGAUAUAACAGUGAUGGAGGUCAGAUAUAACAGUGAUGGAGGUCAGAUAUAACAGUGAUGGAGGUCAGAUAUAACAGUGAUGGAGGUCAGAUAUAACAGUGAUGGAGGUCAGAUAUAACAGUGAUGGAGGUCAGAUAUAACAGUGAUGGAGGUCAGAUAUAACCGUGAUGGAGGUCAGAUAUAACAGUGAUGGAGGUCAGAUAUAACAGUGAUGGAGGUCAGAUAUAACAGUGAUGGAGGUCAGAUAUAACCGUGAUGGAGGUCAGAUAUACCAGUGGACCCUGGUCAGAUAUAACUGUGAUGGAGGUCAGAUAUAACAGUGAUGGAGGUCAGAUAUAACAGUGAUGGAGGUCAGAUAUAACCGUGAUGGAGGUCAGAUAUAACCGUGAUGGAGGUCAGAUAUAACAGUGAUGGAGGUCAGAUAUAACAGUGAUGGAGGUCAGAUAUAACAGUGAUGGAGGUCAGAUAUACCAGUGGACCCUGGUCAGAUAUAACAGUGAUGGAGGUCAGAUAUAACAGUGAUGAGGUCAGAUAUAACCGUGAUGGAGGUCAGAUAUAACAGUGAUGGAGGUCAGAUAUAACAGUGAUGGAGGUCAGAUAUAACAGUGAUGGAGGUCAGAUAUAACAGUGAUGGAGGUCAGAUAUAACAGUGAUGGAGGUCAGAUAUAACAGUGAUGAGGUCAGAUAUAACCGUGAUGGAGGUCAGAUAUAACAGUGAUGGAGGUCAGAUAUAACAGUGAUGGAGGUCAGAUAUAACAGUGAUGAGGUCAGAUAUAACCGUGAUGGAGGUCAGAUAUAACAGUGAUGGAGGUCAGAUAUAACAGUGAUGGAGGUCAGAUAUAACAGUGAUGAGGUCAGAUAUAACAGUGAUGGAGGUCAGAUAUAACCGUGAUGGAGGUCAGAUAUAACAGUGAUGGAGGUCAGAUAUAACCGUGAUGGAGGUCAGAUAUAACAGUGAUGGAGGUCAGAUAUAACAGUGAUGGAGGUCAGAUAUAACAGUGAUGGAGGUCAGAUAUAACAGUGAUGGAGGUCAGAUAUAACAGUGAUGGAGGUCAGAUAUAACAGUGAUGGAGGUCAGAUAUAACAGUGAUGGAGGUCAGAUAUAACAGUGAUGGAGGUCAGAUAUAACAGUGAUGGAGGUCAGAUAUAACAGUGAUGGAGGUCAGAUAUAACCGUGAUGGAGGUCAGAUAUAACAGUGAUGGAGGUCAGAUAUAACAGUGAUGGAGGUCAGAUAUAACAGUGAUGGAGGUCAGAUAUAACAGUGGACCCUGGUCAGAUAUAACAGUGAUGGAGGUCAGAUAUAACAGUGAUGGAGGUCAGAUAUAACAGUGA